CAAGUCGAACGAUGAUGGGAGCCUGCUCCUGGAUUAGUGGCGAACGGGUGAGUAACACGUGAGUAACCUGCCCUUAACUCUGGGAUAAGCCUGGGAAACUGGGUCUAAUACCGGAUAUGACUCCUCAUCGCAUGGUGGGGGGUGGAAAGCUUUAUUGUGGUUUUGGAUGGACUCGCGGCCUAUCAGCUUGUUGGUGAGGUAAUGGCUUACCAAGGCGACGACGGGUAGCCGGCCUGAGAGGGUGACCGGCCACACUGGGACUGAGACACGGCCCAGACUCCUACGGGAGGCAGCAGUGGGGAAUAUUGCACAAUGGGCGCAAGCCUGAUGCAGCGACGCCGCGUGAGGGAUGACGGCCUUCGGGUUGUAAACCUCUUUCAGUAGGGAAGAAGCGAAAGUGACGGUACCUGCAGAAGAAGCGCCGGCUAACUACGUGCCAGCAGCCGCGGUAAUACGUAGGGCGCAAGCGUUAUCCGGAAUUAUUGGGCGUAAAGAGCUCGUAGGCGGUUUGUCGCGUCUGCCGUGAAAGUCCGGGGCUCAACUCCGGAUCUGCGGUGGGUACGGGCAGACUAGAGUGAUGUAGGGGAGACUGGAAUUCCUGGUGUAGCGGUGAAAUGCGCAGAUAUCAGGAGGACACCGAUGGCGAAGGCAGGUCUCUGGGCAUUACCUGACGCUGAGGAGCGAAAGCAUGGGGAGCGA
Molecule: ribosomal RNA, 699 nt
Filed under: uncultured Actinomycetes bacterium
Lineage: Bacteria; Bacillati; Actinomycetota; Actinomycetes
Description: bacterial SSU rRNA
Rfam family: Bacterial small subunit ribosomal RNA
Source: RNAcentral